This 990-nucleotide ribosomal RNA is filed under the name Amphiascoides atopus. RNAcentral's name for it is "16S ribosomal RNA". The record is from RNAcentral. Lineage: Eukaryota; Metazoa; Arthropoda; Copepoda; Harpacticoida; Miraciidae.
UCAUAAAAUUUAUCCGCUUAGACUAUUAAAAAUUAUUACCAACGUCGGUGCAUCUACGAUCUUGAAUCACUCUUCUUACUCCUUUUCCGAAAAGAAAUGAACCUUUUUCACCCUCUAAAGUCUCAUCUUUUACAAACUCAAAAAAGUGACGAUACGUCAACAAAUUUCUUCAUCUGAUUUUCCAGAAAAAUUUAAAAUUGGCUGAAUUAUUACAUGAACACUCUUUAGGUUAAGCUAAAGAGCUUUAUCUAGCUUACCCAUUAUAGUUAAAACCCAAAUAAUUUUGAACUCCUUUUUUAAAAAUUUAUUUUUCUAAAACACAAAACUUUUUUUACCCUCAUUAUACUAGUAAACUAAACCUGUAAAUCUAUUAAUCUCCCCCUCUUUCUUCUAUUGAAAUUAAAAAGCUUGAAUUUUUAAAGCCCGUUUCCUAAAGACUCCAUCUCAAUAGAGACAACUCCUGCCCAAUGUACCACAUAAAUGGCCGCUUUAGUGCUAAGGUAGCAUAAUAACUUGCUUCUUAAUUGGAAUGCCGUAUGAACGGAGACUCUUUAAACCUCCUCUUUAAYCUAAGCUUUAACCUUAUUGAAGAUGAAAUUUACUUCAAAUUUUUAUAGACGAGAAGACCCUAAAACUUUCUUCAAAAAAUUCUAUUAUUUUAAAAUUUAUUGGGGAAAUAAACUCUAUCACUACAUUAAAAAUAUAAGAACCUAAAAGACCAACAAAUUCAAGUACCUUAGGGAUAACAGCGCUACUCUAUUUAAAGCCCUUAUUUAAAACAGAACCUGCGACCUCGAUGUUGAAUUAAGGAACCAUAAGUGCAGAYGCCUUUAUUUACCGGUCUGUUCGACCUUAUCCCCUUACAUGAUUUGAGUUUAAAUCGACGCAAGUCAGAUUGGAUUCUAUCUUAAAACUAUUUUAUUAUUUUUAGUACGAAAGGAACAAUUUAAAAUUUUUAUAUUUAUUACUUUUAAAUAGGAUUAUUAACUU